GGGUCUCAGUCCCAAUCCUGACCCCUGACUGUAGGGGAAGGGCCUGGGGGAGAGGCGGGGUCUUGGGGGACGUGCAUGAGUUCUCUCUGAACCCUGAGAGAGGGGACUGUGCUCACUCCAGGUCUCAGUGUGACAGCUGCUGUCGGAGGUGUGACUUCUGGGGCAUCAGGAGGGACCCUGGUGCUGGGGCCCCUCUCCUGUCCUGCUGAGGGGACAGAAGGCCCAGGGCAGCUGCAGUCCUUGUCCCAACAGUCCCAAUGUGCGUACCCACACUGGGGAGGAUGUAGACACUGAGAUGCUGUUCCCAAUAAGAGAUGAUUUCAUUUCAAGAACUGAGUUUAAGAAACAGAAAUAGGGAGUAGAGGGAAAUGGCCUACUUUCAGUUUCCCUGGUGUGGCUGUGAGGGGAAGGAGGGAGGGGUGCCGGGAUGGGGUGGGGGCGUCAGGGUCGGUCUGAGUGCCCCUGAGCUUCCUCCUCUCCAAAUGGGGGACAUUUGCAGGAUAAUGUAGAGAAGUUUAUGUUAUUUUCAUAUUGUAUACUAUUAGGGAAGUACAGUUAUUUUCUUCAGUGUAAUAAUAUUGUUUGAAAAGAAAGCUUAUUUUUUCAGAGAUGAAUAUUGAAAUAUUCAGGGGAGAGGGUCAUGAUGCUGGCAGGUGAUUUUCAAAUGUGUCAGCAAAAAUUACAGAAAUACAUAAUACAUCAGUAAAAUAGGACAGAAUAUCAAAAUGGCUAAACCUAGGGUGACCAUCGUGUUGGUCUUUCAAACUUCAGGUGUCUUUUAGGGCCCUGGAAAUACAGCUGUGAAAAUCAAAUCCCUGUCCUUGUCCUCAUAAAGCUUGUGUUCUCAAGGAGGGACAGACAGUAAACAAUUAAAUAAAUA
Molecule: long non-coding RNA, 880 nt
Organism: Phyllostomus discolor (pale spear-nosed bat)
Lineage: Eukaryota; Metazoa; Chordata; Mammalia; Chiroptera; Phyllostomidae
Exons: 2
Source: RefSeq, a predicted model, not a curated record